GGUUGCGAUCAUACCAGCAUUAAUGCACCGGAUCCCAUCAGAACUCCGUAGUUAAGCGUGCUUGGGCGAGAGUAGUACUAGGAUAGGUGACCCCCUGGGAAGUCCUCGUGUUGAAACCC
RNAcentral lists this ribosomal RNA (119 nucleotides) under Helianthus annuus (common sunflower). The record is from RNAcentral. Lineage: Eukaryota; Viridiplantae; Streptophyta; Magnoliopsida; Asterales; Asteraceae.